UCUUAUUAUAUAGGAAAAGGAUUACCAUAUGAUUGUUUUCCCAAGUUUCUUUGUAUUCUUUUGAAAUUUAUGGUUUUUUUUUCCCUUUUAAUUUGGUGUUUAAUUAAUUUAUUGUAUACAGAUGUAGUUAUAUUAAAUCGUUGUUGCAGAUGGACGAACGAAGAUAGGAGGACUUAGAAAUGGAAUGCUUGGUCAAAAUGUUGGAGAAAGUUGGAAUGGAGUCACUGCUUUUGGAUGUCCCUUUUGUGAGCAAGUCAUGGUACAAGAUUUGUGAGUGAUUAUCAAAUUGAUGGGGAUCGUUGCUCUGUCACCGCUUUUCUAAAGUUUGUGAUCAAUAGGAGUAGCGGAAAUGCUACUGUGCUCAAGCUUCCCAAAUGCUGCACAGUAGAAGCCUUUGAAUUUGAUGCAAAUGUGUGUCCUGGCCUUGUGACUUCGAGUUUACCAGGAGAUGUAUUGGACAGCAAACACACGACCCUUGAGUUGAUUGGCAAGUGGAAAAAUUUGGAGGUGUUAUCAUUGGGUUCAUUCUUAAAUUUGGUGAAAAUACUUGCAAUUAUACAAACACAUUGCAAGAAUUUUUAUGGUUUAGCUUUGUCCAAAGGCUAAUUUUCAUGGACGUGAGGCAUCCUCAAUUGUGAAGUUGGUGCCUAAUAUGAAGUACUUAAAUUUGAAAGGUGCAAAAGUUAAUCGGGAUAGUCUUGUCAUGUUGCUGUGCAGAUGCAAAGAUCUGGUGAUGUUGGACGCCAGAGAUUGUUCUGGUUUCAAUGAGAACAAUGAUGAAAUAUCAAAGCUUGCCUCUCAUAUUAGUAAAUUUAUGUGUGAGGGUUCUGAAUUUCCUGAAUUUCUUCGUGGUAUGGACAAUUUGGUUCUUCCUGUUGAUGGAUUCUCAUUUCAUCAGCAUGCGGAGGAGAAUUGGGAUGAAAUGCACAAUGAUUUGCACGAUGCGUUCAAAUUGGGCGACGAGGAAUGAAGAACUAUUUGAUUGUACUAAGUGAUAUCUCAUCUUUUUUAUAUCGACUAACCCUAGGAAACCCAGCCGCCCCUUUCUCAACAAGGGGGAGGAGGAGGUCACUGCCUCUCCUCUCCUCUCCUCUCCUCUCUACUAUCAUCUCAACCCUCUCCUCUCUCCUCUCUCUCCUCUCUCUUCCUUCUACCAUCCACAACACCCUGCACCAUUCUCACCAUUUCCCCCCUCUUUGCUUUCUUUGGUGAUUUCUUUCCACUCUUGUGGGUGGAUCUGAGACUUUAUGUCUUAUUUUAAUUAUGUGUCCCCAAUUCUCCAUCAACCUCUCUCUAAAUCCAAUUGUGUCCAAGCAUCUUCCAUCUACCCCUUGGAUUCCUUUCCUCCCUCUUCGAUCUGGCCUCUCUUGCGGGUUGUAGAAGCUAAUCCAAAACGCGAUCUCUCGCGUCCCCAUCGGAAGGUGUAUAGAGCUCUUGCUCUGGUGCUUGCACCA
Prunus avium (sweet cherry) is the source of this 1454-nucleotide non-coding RNA. The record is from RefSeq and is a predicted model, not a curated record. NCBI's taxonomy places the organism in Eukaryota, Viridiplantae, Streptophyta, Magnoliopsida, Rosales, Rosaceae.